Molecule: ribosomal RNA, 492 nt
Filed under: uncultured bacterium
Lineage: Bacteria
Description: partial 16S ribosomal RNA
Rfam family: Bacterial small subunit ribosomal RNA
Source: RNAcentral
GAUGAACGCUAGCUACAGGCUUAACACAUGCAAGUCGAGGGGAAACGGCAUCGAAAGCUUGCUUUUGAUGGGCGUCGACCGGCGCACGGGUGAGUAACGCGUAUCCAACCUGCCCAUCACUUGGGAAUAACCUUGCGAAAGUAAGACUAAUGCCCAAUGACAUCCCACGAAGGCAUCCGAAUGGGAUUAAAGAUUUAUCGGUGAUGGAUGGGGAUGCGUCUGAUUAGCUUGUUGGCGGGGUGACGGCCCACCAAGGCAACGAUCAGUAGGGGUUCUGAGAGGAAGGUCCCCCACAUUUGAACUGAGACACGGACCAAACUCCUACGGGACGCAGCAGUAAGGAAUAUUAGUCAAUGGGCGAGAGCCUGAACCAGCCAAGUAGCGUGCAGGAUGACGGCCCUAUGGGUUGUAAACUGCUUUUAUAAGGGAAUAAAGUGGGUCACGUGUGACUUUUUGCAUGUACCUUAUGAAUAAGGACCGGCUAAUUCCGUG